Molecule: ribosomal RNA, 253 nt
Filed under: uncultured bacterium
Lineage: Bacteria
Description: partial 16S ribosomal RNA
Rfam family: Bacterial small subunit ribosomal RNA
Source: RNAcentral
UACGUAGGUGGCGAGCGUUGUCCGGAUUUAUUGGGCGUAAAGCGCGCGCAGGUGGUGCGGUAAGUCUGUCGUGAAAUCUCCUGGCUCAACUGGGAGGGUGCGGUGGAGACUGCCGGACUGGAGGCACUCAGAGGCCGGUGGAAUUCCCGGUGUAGUGGUGAAAUGCGUAGAGAUCGGAAGGAACAUCAGUGGCGAAGGCGACUGUCUGGACAGAUACUGACGCUGAGGCGCGAAAGCGUGGGGAGCAAACAGG